This is a non-coding RNA of Styela clava, 1909 nucleotides long. Lineage: Eukaryota; Metazoa; Chordata; Ascidiacea; Stolidobranchia; Styelidae. The record is from RefSeq and is a predicted model, not a curated record.
GGAACAUUGCCGUUUUUUUGUAGUACAGUAUCUAAAAUGAGGAAGAAAAUCCUAUUUGGAACAACAUGAGUGUUUUUCGAUAAAUAGAAAAAUUUCACUAAAUAAAGCAUUUUAUCUGAUGUACUACAGUCCUGCAGUGUUUGCAUACCUGACUAUAUCCACACUGAUCUCAAUAAAUCACACAGUCUGAAUUGUUCUGUAUAUUUUGAAAUCAAUUGUUAGCCUACAACAUGAUACAUGAUUUCUCAACUCUCAAUCAUUUCAUUUUUCAACUCCUGCAUAACUUAGCAUUGCAGCUCAGGUUCUUGACGACUCUGUGAAUUAGACCGACUGACAUCAGUAAAAUUGUUCACUUUCCCCUGUUUCACACAAACGGACAUUAUUUUCUGAAUCCACCUACAGCUGACCAAGUUUUUAUUGUUACGUCAUACGGAAGUCUGCGUUCAUUGGCCAUUGUUAUCGGAUAAGCAGAGAAUAUAGGACAGAUAGUACCACAUAUUUCUUAGUCAAGGCAACCCCGUGUAACUUCCGAUAAUCGCUCCCGAUCCCGAUGUAGGAUUUACCGUCACGCCCGACUAGGCGCAGACAGAUUAUUGCUUCCAAAAUCAUCGUGCGUUUUCCUGUGUUCUGACGGCGUUGUCUCACGACAAGAUUAAGUAAGUGGCUUUAUAAACAUUCAAAUUAGUUGUGCAUCAACAUUAAUAAAGAUUUUAUUAUAGAAGAGCAAUCAUUUGAGAGGGAAGGCCCUGGAACCAGUCUUAGCACUUGAAAGCAUGUUGACAAAUGACAGUAAGAUCUGAAGAUUUUAAAUUCACUUCAAGGCUCCAAUGAGUAGAUGUAGUAGAGAAUCACUUUGUGCUACGAUUGUUCAGCAUAAAAAUGGGAAGUUGUGAAUGUCCUAGGUAGCCAAUACAGUAAUGAUUUGUCAAGGAAUGUAAAUUUUGAUAAGAGAUCAAGAUAUUAUGCAACCUAAUAUGUAUAUUUUCAGGAAGAAAAGGAUCAUAUAAAAGUUGCAGUGUGAGGAUUUAUACUGUGUAUCAGUAAGCAAGGAUAUAAAUUGACUAAUAGGUGAUGAUUUAUCUCAAAAAUCAGAAUCAACUUACACGUUACAGCCAUAUCAAUGAAAAUUUUUGAUUGAGGAACUAAAACUUUCGGCAAAAAAGAUAUGUGGUGAACGAUACCACCCUGAAAUUGUAAGACUGCUCGAAACUCACUUUUGAAGAAUGAUUUGCUGUCACCAUAUGGGGUUUUGGCUUGGAAACACAUCUAGAGGGAAUUUAUGAAGAUAUGUCUAAAAACAUUUGAAACAGCCAUGUAAACUAACAGACCAACAUGUUUAAUUCAAUAGCUUGACAAAAAUGUCUGUUAAAUAUUCAGCACAGGUUCUUCCUGCAUCUGUUGCUGAGAUUUUGGAAAUGUCUGAAUUUGAAGCAACUGCCAAGUAUUGCAAACUGCAGAAUACCUUUCUUGGCAUAUGCAGCAGCACUACAAACGUGGCCUACCUUAAAAACGGAAAUCUACUCCCUCUGAAACAUCUGGAGACAAAAGACUGCAGUGAAUCAGCCAAAAUUUCAUAAAUUAUUUUACACACUGAGAGUGUACAACAGGUUGAGGGGCUGAGAAUCCAUCGGUGCUCCAGUUCACAUAUAAUGAGAAGUUGAUUGAAAAGCAGCAAUCACUCAAAGAAAUAUGUGGCAAUUUGCAUGUGAUAGAAUCUAAAUUGCCUCUUUACCCCCACUAAGAACCACUCCCAAAGCCUCAAAAAACAUCAAUACCACUAUUAACAUUACUCGAAAUUCAAUGUUUAAUCACCUUAAUAAUUAAAAUAUUAAUUUGUAUUUCUAUGGAUUUUUGAGAAGAAAAACUUGGGUACUCCAGAAGUACGUGUACCAAGAUGCGGAUAAUGGAA